This 240-nucleotide unclassified non-coding RNA is filed under the name uncultured fungus. RNAcentral describes it as "sequence contains ITS2". The stretch from base 1 to 52 matches the Rfam family "5.8S ribosomal RNA", at positions 103 to 154 of the family's 154-position model. Lineage: Eukaryota; Fungi. The record is from RNAcentral.
AACGCACAUUGCGCCCCUUGGUAUUCCGAGGGGCAUGCCUGUUCGAGCGUCAUUUCAACCCUCAAGCGUAGCUUGGUAUUGGGCUUCGCUGUAAUCCAGCGGGUCUUAAAAACAGUGGCGGUGCCACCAGGCUCUGAGCGUAGUAAUUAUCCUCGCUAUAGGGUCCUGGUGGAUACUAGCUAUCCCCCCCAAUUUUCUAUGGUUGACCUCGGAUCAGGUAGGGAUACCCGCUGAACUUAA